RNAcentral lists this ribosomal RNA (726 nucleotides) under Streptomyces fragilis. Its description in RNAcentral is "bacterial SSU rRNA". It matches the Rfam family "Bacterial small subunit ribosomal RNA", at positions 62 to 805 of the family's 1533-position model. Lineage: Bacteria; Bacillati; Actinomycetota; Actinomycetes; Kitasatosporales; Streptomycetaceae. The record is from RNAcentral.
UCGAACGAUGAACCACUUCGGUGGGGAUUAGUGGCGAACGGGUGAGUAACACGUGGGCAAUCUGCCCUUCACUCUGGGACAAGCCCUGGAAACGGGGUCUAAUACCGGAUACGACCUGCCAAGGCAUCUUGGCGGGUGGAAAGCUCCGGCGGUGAAGGAUGAGCCCGCGGCCUAUCAGCUUGUUGGUGAGGUAACGGCUCACCAAGGCGACGACGGGUAGCCGGCCUGAGAGGGCGACCGGCCACACUGGGACUGAGACACGGCCCAGACUCCUACGGGAGGCAGCAGUGGGGAAUAUUGCACAAUGGGCGAAAGCCUGAUGCAGCGACGCCGCGUGAGGGAUGACGGCCUUCGGGUUGUAAACCUCUUUCAGCAGGGAAGAAGCGAAAGUGACGGUACCUGCAGAAGAAGCGCCGGCUAACUACGUGCCAGCAGCCGCGGUAAUACGUAGGGCGCAAGCGUUGUCCGGAAUUAUUGGGCGUAAAGAGCUCGUAGGCGGCUUGUCGCGUCGGUUGUGAAAGCCCGGGGCUUAACCCCGGGUCUGCAGUCGAUACGGGCAGGCUAGAGUUCGGUAGGGGAGAUCGGAAUUCCUGGUGUAGCGGUGAAAUGCGCAGAUAUCAGGAGGAACACCGGUGGCGAAGGCGGAUCUCUGGGCCGAUACUGACGCUGAGGAGCGAAAGCGUGGGGAGCGAACAGGAUUAGAUACCCUGGUAGUCCACGCCGUAA